UACAGAGGUGGCAAGCGUUGUUCGGAAUUACUGGGCGUAAAGGGCGCGUAGGCGGCCUUCUUAGUCGGACGUGAAAUCCCCAGGCUUAACUUGGGAACUGCGUCCGAUACUGGAGGGCUCGAGUGCGGGAGAGGGAUGUGGAAUUCCAGGUGUAGCGGUGAAAUGCGUAGAUAUCUGGAGGAACACCGGUGGCGAAGGCGGCAUCCUGGACCGACACUGACGCUGAUGCGCGAAAGCUAGGGGAGCAAACAGG
This 253-nucleotide ribosomal RNA is filed under the name uncultured bacterium. RNAcentral's name for it is "partial 16S ribosomal RNA". It matches the Rfam family "Bacterial small subunit ribosomal RNA", at positions 524 to 776 of the family's 1533-position model. The record is from RNAcentral.